This 609-nucleotide ribosomal RNA is filed under the name Enterobacter hormaechei. RNAcentral describes it as "bacterial SSU rRNA". It matches the Rfam family "Bacterial small subunit ribosomal RNA", at positions 547 to 1159 of the family's 1533-position model. Lineage: Bacteria; Pseudomonadati; Pseudomonadota; Gammaproteobacteria; Enterobacterales; Enterobacteriaceae. The record is from RNAcentral.
GGAUUCUGGGCGUAAGCGCACGCAGGCGGUCUGUCAAGUCGGAUGUGAAAUCCCCGGGCUCAACCUGGGAACUGCAUUCGAAACUGGCAGGCUAGAGUCUUGUAGAGGGGGGUAGAAUUCCAGGUGUAGCGGUGAAAUGCGUAGAGAUCUGGAGGAAUACCGGUGGCGAAGGCGGCCCCCUGGACAAAGACUGACGCUCAGGUGCGAAAGCGUGGGGAGCAAACAGGAUUAGAUACCCUGGUAGUCCACGCCGUAAACGAUGUCGACUUGGAGGUUGUGCCCUUGAGGCGUGGCUUCCGGAGCUAACGCGUUAAGUCGACCGCCUGGGGAGUACGGCCGCAAGGUUAAAACUCAAAUGAAUUGACGGGGGCCCGCACAAGCGGUGGAGCAUGUGGUUUAAUUCGAUGCAACGCGAAGAACCUUACCUACUCUUGACAUCCAGAGAACUUUCCAGAGAUGCAUUGGUGCCUUCGGGAACUCUGAGACAGGUGCUGCAUGGCUGUCGUCAGCUCGUGUUGUGAAAUGUUGGGUUAAGUCCCGCAACGAGCGCAACCCUUAUCCUUUGUUGCCAGCGGUUAGGCCGGGAACUCAAAGGAGACUGCCAGUGAU